This is a long non-coding RNA of Erinaceus europaeus (western European hedgehog), 460 nucleotides long. RefSeq lists it as uncharacterized. The transcript has 3 exons. The record is from RefSeq and is a predicted model, not a curated record. Lineage: Eukaryota; Metazoa; Chordata; Mammalia; Eulipotyphla; Erinaceidae.
GCUUACUAGCCCAACGGCACGGAGGAACCACAAACCCCAGAAGCCCUCGCGCUCACUCGUCUCCCUCCCCUUCCCGAGCCGGAGUGCUGUUUUUGUUGUUGGUGAAAGGUGAGGGAACAGCUGAUCCGUCUGUGGGGUAUCAUAAGCUGUGCCUAGAUACAACCGAGUCAGCACAACCAGGCUGGGAGGUCAAACAUCCUGAAGGCAAGAUGGAAAGAAUCAUCACUAAGCCGGGCACCAUCCCGGGGUGGAGUCAACUUUCUGAAUGUAGCCCGGACCUACAUCCCCAACACCAAGGUGGAAUGUCACUACACCCUUCCCCCAGGCACUAUGCCCAGUGCCAGUGACUGGAUUGGCAUUUUCAAGGUAUCCUGCAACCCCUUUUGGCUUGGACCUAGUGGGCGAUGGGUUGAUUGGAAUAAGGGGAAAGACUAGCUUCUUAAGGUCUUAAGAUACUCAA